AUUGAACGCUGGCGGCAUGCCUUACACAUGCAAGUCGAACGGUAACGGGUCCUUCGGGAUGCCGACGAGUGGCGAACGGGUGAGUAAUAUAUCGGAACGUGCCCAGUAGUGGGGGAUAACUGCUCGAAAGAGCAGCUAAUACCGCAUACGACCUGAGGGUGAAAGGGGGGGAUCGCAAGACCUCUCGCUAUUGGAGCGGCCGAUAUCAGAUUAGCUAGUUGGUGGGGUAAAGGCCUACCAAGGCAACGAUCUGUAGUUGGUCUGAGAGGACGACCAGCCACACUGGGACUGAGACACGGCCCAGACUCCUACGGGAGGCAGCAGUGGGGAAUUUUGGACAAUGGGCGCAAGCCUGAUCCAGCAAUGCCGCGUGCAGGAAGAAGGCCUUCGGGUUGUAAACUGCUUUUGUCAGGGAAGAAAUCUUCUGGGCUAAUACCCCGGGAGGAUGACGGUACCUGAAGAAUAAGCACCGGCUAACUACGUGCCAGCAGCCGCGGUAAUACGUAGGGUGCGAGCGUUAAUCGGAAUUACUGGGCGUAAAGCGUGCGCAGGCGGCUUUGCAAGACAGAUGUGAAAUCCCCGGGCUCAACCUGGGAACUGCAUUUGUGACUGCAAGGCUAGAGUACGGCAGAGGGGGAUGGAAUUCCGCGUGUAGCAGUGAAAUGCGUAGAUAUGCGGAGGAACACCAAUGGCGAAGGCAAUCCCCUGGGCCUGUACUGACGCUCAUGCACGAAAGCGUGGGGAGCAAACAGGAUUAGAUAUCCUGGUAGUCCACGCCCUAAACGAUGUCAACUGGUUGUUGGACGGCUUGCUGUUCAGUAACGAAGCUAACGCGUGAAGUUGACCGCCUGGGGAGUACGGCCGCAAGGUUGAAACUCAAAGGAGUUGACGGGGACCCGCACAAGCGGUGGAUGAUGUGGUUUAAUUCGAUGCAACGCGAAAAACCUUACCUACCCUUGACAUGUCAAGAAUUCUGCAGAGAUGUGGAAGUGCUCGAAAGAGAACUUGAACACAGGUGCUGCAUGGCCGUCGUCAGCUCGUGUCGUGAGAUGUUGGGUUAAGUCCCGCAACGAGCGCAACCCUUGUCAUUAGUUGCUACGCAAGAGCACUCUAAUGAGACUGCCGGUGACAAACCGGAGGAAGGUGGGGAUGACGUCAGGUCCUCAUGGCCCUUAUGGGUAGGGCUACACACGUCAUACAAUGGCCGGUACAGAGGGCUGCCAACCCGCGAGGGGGAGCCAAUCCCAGAAAACCGGUCGUAGUCCGGAUCGUAGUCUGCAACUCGACUGCGUGAAGUCGGAAUCGCUAGUAAUCGCGGAUCAGCUUGCCGCGGUGAAUACGUUCCCGGGUCU
RNAcentral lists this ribosomal RNA (1352 nucleotides) under uncultured bacterium. RNAcentral describes it as "bacterial SSU rRNA". It matches the Rfam family "Bacterial small subunit ribosomal RNA", at positions 28 to 1381 of the family's 1533-position model. The record is from RNAcentral.